RNAcentral lists this ribosomal RNA (274 nucleotides) under uncultured bacterium. RNAcentral's name for it is "partial 16S ribosomal RNA". It matches the Rfam family "Bacterial small subunit ribosomal RNA", at positions 523 to 796 of the family's 1533-position model. The record is from RNAcentral.
AUACGGAGGGUGCGAGCGUUGUUCGGAAUUAUUGGGCGUAAAGAGCAUGUAGGCGGUCUGUUAAGUCUGGUGUGAAAGCCCGGGGCUCAACCCCGGAAGUGCAUUGGAUACUGGCAGACUUGAGUAUGGGAGAGGAAAGCGGAAUUCCGAGUGUAGGAGUGAAAUCCGUAGAUAUUCGGAGGAACACCAGUGGCGAAGGCGGCUCUCUGGACCAAUACUGACGCUGAGAUGCGAAAGCGUGGGGAGCGAACAGGAUUAGAAACCCUAGUAGUCC